This 252-nucleotide ribosomal RNA is filed under the name uncultured bacterium. Its description in RNAcentral is "partial 16S ribosomal RNA". It matches the Rfam family "Bacterial small subunit ribosomal RNA", at positions 524 to 775 of the family's 1533-position model. The record is from RNAcentral.
UACGUAGGCAGCAAGCGUUGUUCGGAGUUACUGGGCGUAAAGGGUGCGUAGGCGGCUCUAUAAGUAUGGUGUGAAAUCUCCCGGCUUAACUGGGAGGGUGCGCUAUAGACUGUGGGGCUAGAGGGUGGGAGAGGAAAGUGGAAUUCCUGGUGUAGCGGUGAAAUGCGUAGAUAUCAGGAGGAACACCGGUGGUGUAAACGGCUUUCUGGACCACUUCUGACGCUGAGGCACGAAAGCGUGGGUAGCAAACAG